AAAACGUUGAUUAUGCUUGCAGGGUGGAGCUUAAAAGUAGCAAAAUUGUGUUAGGGGAGUUCCUCGAGUUUAAAGGAAAGCAGGAAGAUACCCUGGCUUUAAGAAAUAUCAAAAGAUCAAAAGUCGACCAUGUCUCUAUUCAGAAAACAAGCAUGUUUGGAUUAGCUCCUUCGAGGUUGCAGGUUCUGUACUCGUAUAGGGACUAUAGAAGUGAAGGCAGUUCAGGGGCAGAGUCUAAAGAAGUUACCGUCCGGUCGAGCACUGAGGCUCUGUUUCAGCCACGAGAGUCCACAAAGAUGAAGAAAUUCAAGCUAUCGUCUCUCGUCUCCAUUUCACUAAGUGCCUAACUAUGAAGUGAAUUUAAUAUUUUGCAGCAGCGGAAGGUUGUGUCAAUAUCUACUAUGUUAAUUACAUUGUCCAUGACCGAAUUAAGUUAUUAUUCACAAGAGUAUCAUCAACCUUUGUAUGUC
Molecule: non-coding RNA, 470 nt
Organism: Camelina sativa (false flax)
Lineage: Eukaryota; Viridiplantae; Streptophyta; Magnoliopsida; Brassicales; Brassicaceae
Source: RefSeq, a predicted model, not a curated record